This is a long non-coding RNA of Labrus mixtus (cuckoo wrasse), 3209 nucleotides long. RefSeq lists it as uncharacterized. The record is from RefSeq and is a predicted model, not a curated record. Lineage: Eukaryota; Metazoa; Chordata; Actinopteri; Labriformes; Labridae. The transcript is spliced from 2 exons.
GUGAUUAGCUCAUGUCUCGAUCGACACACACUGUACGGGGGGUGAAUGUUUUGAUGACUCAUCAGUUUUGAUUUGAUGAAGGAUAAGAGUUAUUCACAAUAAGGCGUGUAGCUGACCUGAUUGACAGGUGGGCGCAGUGUAACGGUUUGUCAGGAGGUUUAAAACCCGCCUCAGCUCCAGCUCUCAGCCUGUCGUUAGAAAGUUAGGCUGGGAUUGCUCUAUAGUAUCCUACUGCUCCACCGCCACUGAGAAUCAGCUGGGAAAAAGACUACAACAACAACAACAACAAUAAUAACAGCAGGGUGUGUUUUUUCUUGCCUUAACUUUCCCGUACAUUACACUGUGGAGACCAUUCCACUCAGGAUACCGUGACCUCUGACCUUUUAAGUGUAAAUUUAUUUCUCACCUCGUCGUGGUGUAUUUAAAAUUGUGAGGGUCGAACGUGUCACACAGAAAUCUAAACUGACCCUCUCCUUAAAGCCCGAUCACAGAGAGGGACGUCGCAAACUAAUCGUUUUCUUCCUCUGGUACGGCGUGCAUGCCGGGCGCUCUUCUCUGCUGCACAAUGCGUUUUUCUAGCUUUUUUUUAUGGUCGCACAUAAUGGUUUAAAAAUGUUCAACAUUUCAGCUCAAGACGAGAAGCCGUCAUGCUCGUCGAUGUCACUUUUGCAUGAAGUAGCGAAUCAAAUCCUGUUGGAGGAUUUAUUUUUUCCAUCUCGGGCGUUUUCAUGAGUCACGCCUGGUUUAAACAUCCGUGUUGAAUCUUCGCCUUAGCAGCGCCGUAGUGACCUACGUCUUUGUGAGCGCCACAUACUCGGCCAUACUGCGCCUACAAACCCGUCCGCAGUGUCCGCAUCUCUGAGCUAGUUACAUCACCAGGUUUGGAGACUGAAACAGGGCGUGUUGUGUUGGAGCUGAUGAAUCCAUGCCGGUCCAAUCACAGGGCUUGAAGUGGCGUCGAUUUUACGCGUAGUGAACGUCGGACUACGUUUGUACAGGCAUAGAGUACUGGUUUCCCUCUUUCACAGAUAGAAGAUUUAAUCGUAAAUGAUCUGAGAUGUCACAGUUUCUUUCUUCUUGAUUCUUAGUCCGGUUUUUAAAAUCAGUUAUAAAACGACCACAGAAGAAGAAAAAGAUGAACAUGAAUCUCUUUGCAUUUUCAGAGGCACUUUGUCUCCUCCUCCUCCCGCAUUCCCACCUGACUCACCCGGUUUCUCCACAGCCUUUGACCUCCCCUCCCCUCCCCUCCCCCAACACACACACACACACACACACACACACACACACACACACACACUACCAUGCAAACAAGGGGACGGGUCUCAUGAUGGUAUUGUUUAGGGAGGGAAGUCACACUGAAAGUCUCUGAAGUGACGAGAUGAAGAACGGACUCCUGUCCUUUAAUACAUCACGUUUUAUAACUUCUGUUAGACGUUUUAAAUUCAGAUUUUUAUUGAACACUGAAAGGCAACACGAUAUCAGUCAACAGUCGACUAGUCAUCGAAUCAGCAGAAACUAUUACAAGUUAAUAUUUGUCUAUUUAAUCGAAUCUAAUAUUUAAUUUGCCUUUAUUGCUCUGUGUGCCUUUGAAUUGCCCCCCGGGGACAAAUAACGUUUUUUGAAUUUGAAUUUGAAUUCAUAUUCUCUUCUUCUUCUUGUCUUUUUAGCGCUGCAACACCUGAAUUUCCCCUCUCGAGGUCGGUUAACGGACGGUCUGAUGUAGAGAACAAACCAAAUGACGUGAAGUAGCAUCGCCAUGGAGUCUAUGGAGAAUUCGCCUCUGGGAUUUCUGCAGAAAAUAAGCUCUGUGGCAAACACGUUUCUGAUGCGUAGGCGUUUUGUUCAGCAGGAGAAUCUUCACAAAUGGACGCCAUUUUUAUGAUGUUUGAAGCGUUAAUGCGGCCAACAGAAGUAAAAAGCUAACGUUAUGCUACAAGCUAACUACACCACGGUUGGAUGAUUUUGACGUCACUACCGAUAUGCUUCAGACGAUCUCAGAUGAGCUAAUCUGCGGUUUUUGACAAGCUAGCGAAACCGUAGCUUCAUAAAUUGUUUAUAAACCGUAUAUAUUUGGCUUAACCCGGUGUUUGUGUCUGUCGUGAUGGCGUUUAAUGAUAAUAACAACCACUGUAGUCUCAUUUAGCCACUUGUUAGCAACCGCCUUGCUAACGAGUUGAUGCGUAAAAUCUUUCAAAUUCACAAGUGGGGGUAUUACCUAACGUAGUUUAUGUGUUCUAACAAAACGCUAACAUCUCUUCAGCUUGUGUUAACCACAGGCCUUAUUUCAAUUGUCUAACCACAAACCCAUUCAUAAUCCCUGUUAACUUUUAGACGUUAGACCCCAUGGCGCUAACAUGCUAACUUACUUCCUAGUUUUAGGACUCAUUCCUGCCGCGCCCUAUUACGUGAACUGAUUAUUCCAUAAAUCUUUGUUCUUUCUCGUUUUCUUCCAUCGGAGGUCUAAACUGAACAACUUCCUGUUAACAAUCUGAUUGGUUGAAGGUUUCUGAAGAUUCUCGGAAAUAUGGGUGACGAUGUCUCGUGAAGGGUUUGGGGGGUCCCGAGGCCCGACCAGCUGAGAGGCUCCGCUCUGAAGAACUUUUAGAUUUAAAACUCGAGAGACAUUUUGAAAUACGGACGUUUAACUAGACCGACUUUAAAAGAGCUGAACACUUCUCUAACCCUUUAACAUAAAUAUUUAUCCAUCAGACUAUUAAAGAAACUUUUCAUCAAACAAACGAGGAGGGAAACUACGGAGCGUGCACGAGGAGGUCACCAACUCGCUCAGAGUCUCCACACAAACGUUAAAUAUACAUUCUUCAUUUUACACUCGGCAAAUGUGUAACGCUGCUUCUUCGUGUUUCAGGUCAACACCGCAGCGAGGGAUCGUGAUCAUUCUCAUCGUGUGGACGCGUCACAAAUCUCACACUUUAUUCUGCAUUAAACCUUCAGGAGGCCGAGACGUUUUAACUCCACGACUCGUCAGAGAAUCUUCAGUUUUAUAAAGUGGAGGGCGUCGACGAGUUCGGGUGAAGAAGUGACGUCAUGUUUUAUUCUUUGUCGUCCUCGCUGUCAGAAUCUCGACGAUGGACUGAACACUCAGGCGUUUUGGUUUAACGGUUGUUUCAGCGCUCACAUGUUGUCAGCUUUUCUGUCUGCAGCUUUUUAAAAACAUGAUUUACACGUAAUAAAACGUGUUUCUACUCUGA